Molecule: non-coding RNA, 29 nt
Filed under: Mus musculus (house mouse)
Lineage: Eukaryota; Metazoa; Chordata; Mammalia; Rodentia; Muridae
Source: RNAcentral
GACUCAGUGUGCAAUCCCGACCAACCUCU